CACGUAGGUGGCAUCGUAAGUCAAAGGUGAAAGCCCUCGGCUCAACCGGGGAAUUGCCUUUGAAACUGCGUUGCUUGAGUCCGGGAGGGGAGAGCGGAAUUCCCAGUGGAGCGGUGAAAUGCGUAGAUACUGGGAGGAACACCGGUGGCGAAGGCGGCUCUCUGGACCGGUACUGACACUGAGGUGCGAAAGCGUGGGUAGCAAACA
Molecule: ribosomal RNA, 207 nt
Filed under: uncultured bacterium
Lineage: Bacteria
Description: partial 16S ribosomal RNA
Rfam family: Bacterial small subunit ribosomal RNA
Source: RNAcentral